Molecule: ribosomal RNA, 253 nt
Filed under: uncultured bacterium
Lineage: Bacteria
Description: partial 16S ribosomal RNA
Rfam family: Bacterial small subunit ribosomal RNA
Source: RNAcentral
UACGUAGGGACCAAGCGUUGUUCGGAAUUACUGGGCGUAAAGGGCGCGUAGGCGGCCUUCUAAGUCAGACGUGAAAUCCCCAGGCUCAACCUGGGAACUGCGUCUGAUACUGGAUGGCUUGAAUCCGGGAGAGGGAUGCAGAAUUCCAGGUGUAGCGGUGAAAUGCGUAGAUAUCUGGAGGAAUACCGGUGGCGAAGGCGGCAUCCUGGACCGGCAUUGACGCUGAGGAGCGAAAGCUAGGGGAGCAAACGGG